This is a long non-coding RNA of Lepisosteus oculatus (spotted gar), 139 nucleotides long. RefSeq lists it as uncharacterized. The record is from RefSeq and is a predicted model, not a curated record. NCBI's taxonomy places the organism in Eukaryota, Metazoa, Chordata, Actinopteri, Semionotiformes, Lepisosteidae.
AAAAAAAGCCUCAGGCUCUCUGCAAAAUGCAAAGUACAGCUACUUAAACUUGAAGAGAUCUUCAGUGACUUCACCAUCAGAUGCCAGAGAGGAAACAAGAACAGGAUGAGGACAAGGUGGGUCACAUAGCUUGAUUUUA